AGAGUUUGAUCCUGGCUCAGGAUGAACGCUGGCGGCGUGCUUAACACAUGCAAGUCGAGCGAAGCGCUAAGACGGAUUUCUUCGGAUUGAAGUCUUUGUGACUGAGCGGCGGACGGGUGAGUAACGCGUGGGUAACCUGCCUCAUACAGGGGGAUAACAGUUAGAAAUGACUGCUAAUACCGCAUAAGCGCACAGGACCGCAUGGUCCGGUGUGAAAAACUCCGGUGGUAUAAGAUGGACCCGCGUUGGAUUAGCUAGUUGGCAGGGUAACGGCCUACCAAGGCGACGAUCCAUAGCCGGCCUGAGAGGGUGAACGGCCACAUUGGGACUGAGACACGGCCCAGACUCCUACGGGAGGCAGCAGUGGGGAAUAUUGCACAAUGGGGGAAACCCUGAUGCAGCGACGCCGCGUGAAGGAAGAAGUAUCUCGGUAUGUAAACUUCUAUCAGCAGGGAAGAUAGUGACGGUACCUGACUAAGAAGCCCCGGCUAACUACGUGCCAGCAGCCGCGGUAAUACGUAGGGGGCAAGCGUUAUCCGGAUUUACUGGGUGUAAAGGGAGCGUAGACGGACUGGCAAGUCUGAUGUGAAAGGCGGGGGCUCAACCCCUGGACUGCAUUGGAAACUGUUAGUCUUGAGUGCCGGAGAGGUAAGCGGAAUUCCUAGUGUAGCGGUGAAAUGCGUAGAUAUUAGGAGGAACACCAGUGGCGAAGGCGGCUUACUGGACGGUAACUGACGUUGAGGCUCGAAAGCGUGGGGAGUAAACAGGAUUAGAUACCCUGGUAGUCCACGCCGUAAACGAUGAA
Molecule: ribosomal RNA, 805 nt
Filed under: uncultured bacterium
Lineage: Bacteria
Description: bacterial SSU rRNA
Rfam family: Bacterial small subunit ribosomal RNA
Source: RNAcentral